UACGUAGGGUGCAAGCGUUAAUCGGAAUUACUGGGCGUAAAGCGUGCGCAGGCGGCUUUGCAAGACAGAUGUGAAAUCCCCGGGCUUAACCUGGGAACUGCAUUUGUGACUGCAUGGCUGGAGUGUGGCAGAGGGGGGUGGAAUUCCACGUGUAGCAGUGAAAUGCGUAGAGAUGUGGAGGAACACCGAUGGCGAAGGCAGCCCCCUGGGCUGACACUGACGCUCAUGCACGAACGCGUGGGGAGCAAACAGG
RNAcentral lists this ribosomal RNA (253 nucleotides) under uncultured bacterium. RNAcentral describes it as "partial 16S ribosomal RNA". It matches the Rfam family "Bacterial small subunit ribosomal RNA", at positions 524 to 776 of the family's 1533-position model. The record is from RNAcentral.